GAAAGCACGACAUUGCUCACAUUGCUUCCAGUAUUUCUUAGCCAGCUGCGUGCUGGCUUUUUUUU
Molecule: non-coding RNA, 65 nt
Filed under: Kosakonia arachidis
Lineage: Bacteria; Pseudomonadati; Pseudomonadota; Gammaproteobacteria; Enterobacterales; Enterobacteriaceae
Source: RNAcentral